Molecule: ribosomal RNA, 492 nt
Filed under: uncultured bacterium
Lineage: Bacteria
Description: partial 16S ribosomal RNA
Rfam family: Bacterial small subunit ribosomal RNA
Source: RNAcentral
AGUGAACGCUGGCGGUAGGCCUAACACAUGCAAGUCGAACGGCAGCACAGUAAGAGCUUGCUCUUACGGGUGGCGAGUGGCGGACGGGUGAGGAAUACAUCGGAAUCUACUUUUUCGUGGGGGAUAACGUAGGGAAACUUACGCUAAUACCGCAUACGACCUACGGGUGAAAGCAGGGGAUCUUCGGACCUUGCGCGAUUGAAUGAGCCGAUGUCGGAUUAGCUAGUUGGCGGGGUAAAGGCCCACCAAGGCGACGAUCCGUAGCUGGUCUGAGAGGAUGAUCGGCCACACUGGAAGUGAGACACGGACAAGACUACUACGGGAGGCAGCAGUGGGGAAUAUUGGACAAUGGGCGCAAGCCUGAUCCAGCCAUACCGCGUGGGUGAAGAAGGCCUUCGGGUUGUAAAGCCCUUUUGUUGGGAAAGAAAAGCAGCAGGUUAAUACCCCGCUGUUCUGACGGUACCCAAAGAAUAAGCACCGGCUAACUUCGUG